GUGGUUUCUCUGGUGCUAUAAG
RNAcentral lists this microRNA (22 nucleotides) under Parasteatoda tepidariorum (common house spider). Its description in RNAcentral is "pte-miR-263b-3p". Its record names the gene pte-miR-263b-3p. The record is from miRBase by way of RNAcentral. Lineage: Eukaryota; Metazoa; Arthropoda; Arachnida; Araneae; Theridiidae.